ACACAUCUGUAAGAUCUACCAUUUUAAAAAAUCGUCACUGGGGUUGUGUUGUGAAAGCUUGUCCUAGUUAUUUUGGAAGGAGAUAUCUUGUAGGUAUAUUUUUCUUGAAUCUGCAGCUUCAACCUAGUCCAAAGCCCCAAUUGGGAAUUUGGAAUGGAACCUCACCAUCACUUGAGAUGGCACCACCACUAACACAAUCUGCACCAUAUCCAACCCAAUCUGUAGAAGGAGCAGUAGUGCUAGU
Molecule: non-coding RNA, 244 nt
Organism: Prunus mume (Japanese apricot)
Lineage: Eukaryota; Viridiplantae; Streptophyta; Magnoliopsida; Rosales; Rosaceae
Source: RefSeq, a predicted model, not a curated record